UUUCAAAACAUUUCAAAAUGCCCGCUUCCUGCUCCUCUCUCUCUCUCUCUCUCCGGCGAUUUUAGAUCUGGAUCUAGGGUUUUUCUCCAUCACGUUUCUACUACUCCAAUUCCUCAUGGAAAUCAUUGGAAUCAAACUCAAGUCUAGGUUUUGAACUUCACGGAGAGUUGAGAGUCCCACAAAGAUCGAUGAAACUGAAAACACGCAGUGAUGAACACCGAUUUGUAAGAAACCCUAACUAAAGGUUUCUUCCGGUCUUCUCUUCUGAUGGUUUCUUCCGGUCUGGUCUUCUCUGCUGAUGGUUUCUUUGGUGCAGCCUAACUCUCUUUACUUCAAGUAAGUGGAACCGAGAUGCAGAAAUUGAGGGUCACUUUGGAGAAGGUUAAGCAGCAUAAUUUGCAACUUGCUCUAUCAAACAUCUGAGUGAUAGAGGAACUAUGGUCAAGGAAAGGCAAAAAGAUCUCUAUCAUGAGCCUGGCUGCAAAAAUCGCUUGAUUAUUGCAAAAAAAAAACGUGGAGUUGGAGAUGGUUGGUGCCUCUGGGAACAACUUGAUGUGUUGUGUUCAUUGAAGUCUGGUAUUUCCGAGGAGGUCUUGAAGGCUUAUGACGGCAACGAUUUUCAAAAGCCUUCUCUUAUGGCCAUCGUAAGCCAGAUCUACGAUGUCUCACAACGCUGUCCAGUGUGUAUAAAUCUAUUGAAGACGUUGCUGAUCGGGAUGUUAAUAUUAGGUGUAUUCUGCAAUUUUUAUUCUUUAUUAAAGACACUGCUGGCAAAGUUGGUUCACAAAUAGUAAGGGAGCAUUUGACGUUAGGAUUUAAUGUUCGAGCUGCUGUACAAAGUACUCAUAGCAGAAUAUUUGGUGAAAGUUGGAUAUUCGUGUUUUGCUAAACCUUUCCCUCGGCACAAUCAUGAACCAUGCCUUAGUUUAUAUCGCAACAAAAAAAAACCGUAUAAUAUGGUAUAGAAAAUGAUUUUGAGAAUGGCGAAACUACUAGAUAAGCAGUUGUCUAGAAGCAAUCCUGAAUGUAGGCCCUGGACUUGACGACGUUAAAUCGUUGUUAAUACUCCGUGAACGAGGACGCUUCAGUCCUACUCGCUACUUCGUUGAUAGCGUUAUUGGAUUCGAUGAAACUGAUCUACAUCAGUCCUGGGUUAAGUUAGGUGAGCUCCAGCGACCAUGAAACGAUCGAUUCUGGUGGCAAUGGUGCGUCAUAAGUCCAGAUCGAGGACUAAAGGAGCGGUAUCACCAACAAUUGGCAGGUUAACGACACGAUCACCAAAUGUACUCAUACUCCAGAUGGUGCCAUUUUCCGUGUCUUUUUUACAUACCAUGUUAUAGAUUGUUGCUGCCGCCGCAUCGCGCGGGUUCC
Helianthus annuus (common sunflower) is the source of this 1371-nucleotide RNA transcript. RefSeq lists it as uncharacterized. Lineage: Eukaryota; Viridiplantae; Streptophyta; Magnoliopsida; Asterales; Asteraceae. The record is from RefSeq and is a predicted model, not a curated record. The transcript has 11 exons.